RNAcentral lists this ribosomal RNA (786 nucleotides) under uncultured marine bacterium. RNAcentral's name for it is "bacterial SSU rRNA". It matches the Rfam family "Bacterial small subunit ribosomal RNA", at positions 48 to 829 of the family's 1533-position model. The record is from RNAcentral.
CCUAUACAUGCAAGUCGAGGGGUAACAGGAAGUGCUUGCACUUCGCUGACGACCGGCGCACGGGUGAGUACCGCGUAUACAAUCUGCCUCAUACUAGGGAAUAGCCCGAAGAAAUUUGGAUUAAUGCCCUAUAGUAUCUUUUUAAGGCAUCUUAUUAAGAUUAAAGGUUACGGUAUGAGAUGAGUAUGCGUUCUAUUAGCUAGUAGGUGUGGUAACGGCACACCUAGGCUACGAUAGAUAGGGGCCCUGAGAGGGGGAUCCCCCACACUGGUACUGAGACACGGACCAGACUCCUACGGGAGGCAGCAGUAAGGAAUAUUGGACAAUGGGCGAAAGCCUGAUCCAGCCAUGCCGCGUGCAGGAUGACGGCCCUAUGGGUUGUAAACUGCUUUUAUAUAGGAAGAAAAACUUUCUCGUGAGAAAGCUUGACGGUACUAUAAGAAUAAGGAUCGGCUAACUCCGUGCCAGCAGCCGCGGUAAUACGGAGGAUCCAAGCGUUAUCCGGAAUCAUUGGGUUUAAAGGGUCCGUAGGUGGACAAAUAAGUCAGAGGUGAAAUCCUGCAGCUCAACUGUAGAACUGCCUUUGAUACUGUUUGUCUUGAGUUAUUAUGAAGUGGUUAGAAUGUGUAGUGUAGCGGCGAAAUGCAUAGAUAUUACACAGAAUACCGAUUGCGAAGGCAGAUCACUAAUAAUUAACUGACACUGAGGGACGAAAGCGUGGGUAGCGAACAGGAUUAGAUACCCUGGUAGUCCACGCCGUAAACGAUGGUCACUAGCUGUUUGGAC